GACGAACGCUGGCGGCGUGCCUAACACAUGCAAGUCGAACGAAGCUUGAAUUCAGAUUUCUUCGGAAUGAAGAAUGAUAUGACUGAGUGGCGGACGGGUGAGUAACGCGUGAGCAACCUGCUCUUCGGAGGGGGAUAGUGUCUGGAAACGGACAGUAAUACCGCAUAACGUAUUUUUACCGCAUGAUAGAAAUACCAAAACUGAGGUGCCGAAGGAUGGGCUCGCGUUGGAUUAGAUAGUUGGUGGGGUAACGGCCUACCAAGUCAACGAUCCAUAGCCGGACUGAGAGGUUGAACGGCCACAUUGGGACUGAGACACGGCCCAGACUCCCACGGGAGGCAGCAGUGGGGAAUAUUGCACAAUGGGGGAAACCCUGAUGCAGCAACGCCGCGUGAAGGAAGACGGUUUUCGGAUUGUAAACUUCUGUUCUUAGUGAAGAAAAAUGACGGUAGCUAAGGAGCAAGCCACGGCUAACUACGUGCCAGCAGCCGCGGUAAUACGUAGGUGGCAAGCGUUGU
Molecule: ribosomal RNA, 518 nt
Filed under: uncultured bacterium
Lineage: Bacteria
Description: bacterial SSU rRNA
Rfam family: Bacterial small subunit ribosomal RNA
Source: RNAcentral